Molecule: ribosomal RNA, 233 nt
Filed under: uncultured bacterium
Lineage: Bacteria
Description: partial 16S ribosomal RNA
Rfam family: Bacterial small subunit ribosomal RNA
Source: RNAcentral
CGGGUGAGUAACGCGUGAGGAACCUGCCUCAAAGAGGGGGACAACAGUUGGAAACGACUGCUAAUACCGCAUAAGCCCACGGCUCGGCAUCGAGCAGAGGGAAAAGGAGUGAUCCGCUUUGAGAUGGCCUCGCGUCCGAUUAGCCAGUUGGUGAGGUAACGGCCCACCAAGGCAACGAUCGGUAGCCGGACUGAGAGGUUGAACGGCCACAUUGGGACUGAGACACGGCCCAG